CACGUAGGAUCCAAGCGUUAUCCGGAUUUACUGGGCGUAAAGCGCGUGUAGGUGGUUUGUUAAGUUGGGUGUUAAAUCUCUCGGCUCAACUGAGAGGUGUCGCUCAAAACUAGCAGACUGGAGGACGGUAGAGGAAGGUGGAAUUCCGGGUGUAGUGGUGAAAUGCGUAGAUAUCCGGAGGAACACCAGUGGCGAAGGCGGCAUCCUGGACCGCUCCUGACACUCAAACGCGAAAGCUAGGGGAGCAAACGGG
This 253-nucleotide ribosomal RNA is filed under the name uncultured bacterium. RNAcentral's name for it is "partial 16S ribosomal RNA". It matches the Rfam family "Bacterial small subunit ribosomal RNA", at positions 524 to 776 of the family's 1533-position model. The record is from RNAcentral.